AACCUCCGCAAUGUGAGAAAUCGCGACGGGGGGAUCCCAAGUGCCAUUCUUAACGGGAUGGCUUUUCUUAAGUGUAAAAAGCUUUUGGAAUAAGAGCUGGGCAAGACCGGUGCCAGCCGCCGCGGUAACACCGACAGCUCUAGUGGUAGCUGUUUUUAUUGGGCCUAAAGCGUUCGUAGCCGGUUUGAUAAGUCACUGGUGAAAUCCUGUAGCUUAACUGUGGGAAUUGCUGGUGAUACUGUUGAACUUGAGGUCGGGAGAGGUUAGCGGUACUCCCAGGGUAGAGGUGAAAUUCUGUAAUCCUGGGAGGACCACCUGUGGCGAAGGCGGCUAACUGGAACGAACCUGACGGUGAGGGACGAAAGCUAGGGGCGCGAACCGGAUUAGAUACCCGGGUAGUCCUAGCCGUAAACGAUGCGGACUUGGUGUUGGGAUGGCUUUGAGCCGCUCCGGUGCCGAAGGGAAGCUAGUACGCCGCCGUCGAGGAACGUCGCAAGAGUAAUAAACGUAAGU
RNAcentral lists this ribosomal RNA (513 nucleotides) under uncultured bacterium. RNAcentral describes it as "bacterial SSU rRNA". It matches the Rfam family "Archaeal small subunit ribosomal RNA", at positions 345 to 861 of the family's 1478-position model. The record is from RNAcentral.